GGCCUGUUAGCUCAGCUGGUUAGAGCGCCGUGCUAAUAACGCGGACGUCGUGGGUUCGAUCCCCAUACAGGCCA
This 74-nucleotide transfer RNA is filed under the name Homarus americanus (American lobster). Its description in RNAcentral is "tRNA-Ile". It matches the Rfam family "tRNA". Rfam says of the family: Transfer RNA (tRNA) molecules are approximately 80 nucleotides in length. Their secondary structure includes four short double-helical elements and three loops (D, anti-codon, and T loops). Further hydrogen bonds mediate the characteristic L-shaped molecular structure. tRNAs have two regions of fundamental functional importance: the anti-codon, which is responsible for specific mRNA codon recognition, and the 3' end, to which the tRNAs corresponding amino acid is attached (by aminoacyl-tRNA synthetases). tRNAs cope with the degeneracy of the genetic code in two manners: having more than one tRNA (with a specific anti-codon) for a particular amino acid; and 'wobble' base-pairing, i.e. permitting non-standard base-pairing at the 3rd anti-codon position. Lineage: Eukaryota; Metazoa; Arthropoda; Malacostraca; Decapoda; Nephropidae. The record is from Rfam by way of RNAcentral.